RNAcentral lists this ribosomal RNA (254 nucleotides) under uncultured bacterium. RNAcentral's name for it is "partial 16S ribosomal RNA". It matches the Rfam family "Bacterial small subunit ribosomal RNA", at positions 524 to 776 of the family's 1533-position model. The record is from RNAcentral.
CACGUAGGGUGCGAGCGUUGUCCGGAAUUAUUGGGCGUAAAGAGCUCGUAGGCGGUGUGUCGCGUCGUCCGUGAAAACCUGCAGCUUAACUGUGGGCUUGCGGUCGAUACGGGCAUCACUGGAGUUCGGCAGGGGAGACUGGAAUUCCUGGUGUAGCGGUGAAAUGCGCAGAUAUCAGGAGGAACACCGGUGGCGAAGGCGGGUCUCUGGGCCGAUACUGACGCUGAGGAGCGAAAGCGUGGGGAGCGAACAGG